RNAcentral lists this long non-coding RNA (1447 nucleotides) under Equus caballus (horse). RNAcentral's name for it is "lncRNA (ENSECAG00000048653.1)". The record is from RNAcentral. Lineage: Eukaryota; Metazoa; Chordata; Mammalia; Perissodactyla; Equidae.
ACCCCCUACCCUAGGCAACCACUAAUCUACUGUCUCCAUAGAUUUGCCUAUUGUAGACCUUUUAUAUUAAUGGAAUCAUAAAAUAUGUAGCUUUUUGCGUCUGGCUUCUUUCAUUUACACAACGUUUUCAAGGUUCAUCCAGAUUGUAGUAGGUAUCAGUGCUUCCUUUCCUUUUCUUGCUGAAGAACAUUCCAUUGUAUGGCUAGACCACACUUGUCCACUCAUCAGCUGGUGGGCAUUUGGGUUGCUUCUACUUUUUGGUUAUUAUGGAUAAUGCCCCUAUUAUCAGUAAGUGUACUAAUUUUUGUUUGGACGUGUGUUUUCAUUUCUCUUGGUUAUAAACCCAAGAGUGGAAUUGCUGCGUUGUGUGGUAGCUCUGCAUGUAACUGAGGAACUGUCAGACUGUUUUCCAAAGUGGCUGCCCAUUUUGCAUUCCCCCUGCCGGGUGUGAGGGUUCCAGUCUCUCCACCUCCUCGCCGACGCUUGUUCACACCUGCUGUCUAUCUUUUUGAUUAUCGCCAUGCUAGUGGGUGUGUAGUAGUAUGUUGUGAUUUUGAUUUGCAUUUCUCUGAUGGCUUGUGAUGCUUAUUGUAAUAGCUUAUUGGCUAUUUGUACGUCUUCUUUGGAGAACUGUCUAUUCAGUUCCUUUGCCCAUUUUUAUUGGAUUAUUUGUGGCUUUUUUUAAAAAAAUCGGCACCUGAGCUAACAACUGUUGCCACUCUUUUUUUUUCUUCUGCUUUUUCUCCCCAAAUCCCCUCAGUACAUAGUUGCAUAUUUUAGUUGUGGGUCCUUCAAGUUGUGGCAUGUGGGAUGCCACCUCAGCAUGGCCUGAUGAGCAAUGUCAUGUCCGUGACCAGGAUCCAAACUGGUGAAACCCUGGGCUGCCAAAGCAGAGCGCGCGAACUUAACCCCGGAUUAUUUGUGUUAUUGUUGAGUUGUAAUAGAUUUUUUUCUGUUCUAGAUACAAGUCCCUUAUCAGAUAUAUGAUUGCAAAAAAAUCUCUCCUAUUUUGUGGGUUCUCUUUCAAUUUCUUCAAGGUGUAGAUGUAGAUACAUUUUGUAAGGUAUUCUUUUUUUUUUUUUUUUUAUUGUCAGGACUUCAGCGCUGAAUUCAGUGAGGAGACGAAUUCAGCCCAGCAUGCCUCCAACGUUCUUAGAGCACUUGGCGAUUUGUAAAUUGUUUCCGUGCAUGUAAUGUGAUUGAACCCCCACCACAGCGCUGGGAGGGAGGCGACCCCUCCGCCUGGUCUCCACUCAGAGAUAGCAGGUGACUUUCCUGUUGUCACUCUCAUGGUCUUUGGUGACCUCAAAUGCCAGCAGGCCUUCCAAUCCAGAGGCCAGGGUCUUCCUACUAAAGGUUUUAAACUCAGGACCGCCACUAUCCGCCAAGCAGGACGUAUGGAUGUGGUCGAUUUACCCAGCAGCCCUGCCCCCAGGUAAGACAAAAU